AAUCAGUCAGAGAGGAACUUGGUGGAAAAGCUCUCAGAGAGCUGGUAGCUUUGAAGAUGGAGAAAAACACUCAUAAACCAAGGAACAAGGGCCGUCUCUGGAAGCUGAAAAGAAAAUUCUCAAGCCUAAUGAAGAGGAGGAAAUCCCUGUUCAGAGAUUGUCACAUCUCACUCACAGAACCUGGAAAACAAACCCUCAAGCUCAUUUCUCUCAAAGUUUACCCAGAGCUUGGUUUUGCCAUCAUUGAUUCUCGUGUUUACUCUUCUCCAGAUGUUUGGGUGCAGUGGACUUGGGAGCAAGGUCUCCAUAAUUUACUUCAAUGACUGUCCACUGUUGAGCCCAUGGAGGAAGUGUUUCUAAACCUUACCCUUAGGAAAUUUUUCUUUUAUUCAUUGCAAAUAGCCUUUGCUUUCAAUAGUACAGGUACAUCCUUCAAGAUGUGUCUGUAACUUUCUAGAGUUUCUCCUUAUUCACGGUUUCUAUCCUGAGAUAUAUACCCCAGCCACCUCCUACUCAACUAUCAAAUUAUUCUCAGUCUUCCAGCUUCUGCCUGUUUCUGGGGGUAUAUCACCAUUUCAGCCCUUGGACCUUAGGCAACUUAUCAAGCUCCAAAACCUGGCUUCACCCCUGGACCAUGAUUUGGUACAUACCUCCUGAUUAAGAUGUUCUCUGCCACUCUCAGGAAAUAAUCUGUAUAGUUCAAUUGACCCAAAGGUAAACUUCAGGGCCUUGUAACCCAUGUCACCACCAGGUCAACCUACAAGCAGAGUCCAGAUCAAUUGGAGAAUCUAGCCAAGUAGAGAAGACUUUCAAGCUUUUCCAUCAAGUCCUGAACCAAGUGAGAGAAAAUCUGAAGCAGAGUUCAGAUUGAAUGAUUGAGACAGUGAGGGUCUAGUCCCCCACCUGUGUUGUUGAUAGAUACCUAAUGGAACCAGAUCUUGGUCUUGAGGAGCGACGUCAUGAACAUUCAAUCUUCCCAAAUCUUAACCAAGACCUAUGGCAGCGGUUACUACAAAAAAAUUCCCCUUCUUGGGUGUGAAAUACUGAUUACCCUUCAAACAAAUGCCCCCUAACUGAGGAAAGGAAUUCUCAAUUCUACAGUGGCCUAAUAAAUGGAAAACCAAAUAAAAGUCCUCUAAAAAUUAGGAAUAAUUGUCCAACUCAGAUGUAUCAUUCACAGCAGAUAGUACAUAGUGAAUAUCUUUUGAUGCAGAAAAUAAGUAACCAUAAACAUAAAACAUUAAUUCUGAUAUAGCUGUCUUUGCCCAUUCUCCUGUGUACUUAUGUUCUGAGUAAAUACAUUUUUGACUAAAAAAACCAUUGAAAUACUAGAUCCAUAAAAUUAAUUGGAAUAUGAUUUGUUCACUUUCUACUUACUGAUAUUUUGAGAAGCUGUGGUCAUUGAAAACCCUCCAAGCAUAAUUUUGGGGAAAUAAAACUAUCCACCAAGAGCUCAAUUGAUUCAAGCCAUAAUUAUCCCUGCACAAGGCUGCAACCAAAUAGCCUCUCUUUUUACAAAACAAAGGUUUUCAAGGGCAAAUGUUCACCUUCAAGUUGAUUUAAACUGUCCUGCUUCCUCUAGGAAAGAAGUAGAUUUCACUCUUAUCUCGCUGUUGUCCCCUUCCUGUUCCUCUAAACACCAUAAUGUGCUGACAUCACCCACCAAGGAAGACCUAGCACAUUUUUGGGAAGUCUGAGUCAUCUAAAAACUGUUUCAGGUCAAAGCAGAAGACGUCAUUUGCUGGUCAUGCUAAAAUAGAAGCAGAGAAAACAAGCAGUAUCGAGAGUCUGCUUCCAGAUCUAACUCUGUUUUUAACUGGACACAUGAUCUUGGGCAAGUCUGUUGGGUCUCUAUGAGUAUCAGUUAUCUAUCUCGGGGGAAUAACUGGUGCUCCACAAACCAUAGGGAUUGCCCUGUACCUCAAGUGAGGGAAGUGUAUGAAAAUGCUUUGAAAAGUUUAGAUCUCUCUACAUAGAGCAGAUUACCAUCUCUGAUUGAAAUCUCAUGGUAACAGAGAGACAGUUACUUACUGCCAAAGAUUUCCACAACCUGAUUCAUUCUUGCCAAAUUUCUAGAUGUAUAUCUGAAGUCGUUUCUUGAUACUUCACUGAUGGGAAGUAUCCAAAAUCAUCCUUAGAAGUAAGUUGAUUUUACUAUUUUCUUUCACAUAAUUUUUCCAUUCAAAUCAACAUUUUUAGGAACUCAGCCCAUGUAGAUAAACCCACUGCGUUUCCCUGAUAGAACUUAGAUGAGAAAGAGGGCAGAAGAAAAAGUAAGCCAAUUCCUUUUGUAUUUCCAAUAGAGACCUUGACCAGAAUCAGCCCUAACCUCCUUAGCAUCUCUCACUUAUGAGAAUAUUUUCUAUCUAGCUUCCAUCACUGCCUUGGACACAGAUCACCUCUACUGGUAGAAUAACAACAUGGUUAUCAGUAGCCUCAGCAACCUCAGAACUCUGUUUAUAUUGUCUUUGACAUCUUCCAAAUUGCCACAGUAAGGUCAACGAGAGAUGUUGGAGGCUUGACAGAUAUGCAUGUAUACAGGCCAUAGUGAAUCAAAGAAAUUAGAUGGCAGUUGAAGAAUGAUGCUAAUCUAGGCUUGCAAAAUAUGUAAGGCUUUCCCAGGCUUCUCGGGGAAAAGGAGUGAGAUGGGAAACGUACAUCGUUUGAGUGGCUGCUUGAAAGCAAGUUGCCAAAUACUCCCAUUGUCAUUGAUGGGAAGCCGUUGACAUUCUUGUUCUCAGGCCCAGAACCCUAAGGGAGUUGGAGGAAAGGGCAUAAUAGCCUUAAGCAUAAACAACAUAAUCUUUCUCUGGAGGGUUAGUCAUUUAUAGCUUCUAUGAAUACAAAGAUCUGUGCCUUGCAUAUCUAUAGCCUUGAUCAGUAAUAUUGAAAAUGCCAUAUGUGAUCCUGUACGUACAAGGAAGUAGAAAAUAGCAAAUAAAAAUCAUGACUUUGCUCAGA
Long non-coding RNA from Sus scrofa (pig), 2961 nucleotides. RefSeq lists it as uncharacterized. The record is from RefSeq and is a predicted model, not a curated record. NCBI's taxonomy places the organism in Eukaryota, Metazoa, Chordata, Mammalia, Artiodactyla, Suidae.